GGCCGCGGUAUUUUGACCGUGCAAAGGUAGCGUAAUCACCUGUCUUUUAAAUAAAGACCUGUAUGAAUGGCAAGACGAGGGUUUUACUGUCUCCUCCCCCCAGUCAAUGAAAUUGAUCUACCCGUGCAGAAGCGGGUAUAAAAACAUAAGACGAGAAGACCCUAUGGAGCUUUAGGCAUAUAUCAAAUAUGUAAAAAACCAAAUUUUUCCAAAUAGGCCUAAAAAAUGAGAAAAACAAGUAUUAAUGAUUAAGUGCCUUCGGUUGGGGCGACCACGGGGAAAAAUAAAACCCCCACAUGGAAUGGGAAAAAUAACCCUAAGCCAAGAAAAACACUUCUAAGCAACAAAAUUUUUGACCAAUAAACGACCCAGGGACACCAUCCCUGAGCAAUGAACCAAGUUACCCUAGGGAUAACAGCGCAAUCCUUUCCCAGAGCCCAUAUCAACGAAAGGGUUUACGACCUCGAUGUUGGAUCAGGGCAUCCUAACGGUGCAGCCGCUGUUAAGGG
Molecule: ribosomal RNA, 509 nt
Filed under: Conger erebennus
Lineage: Eukaryota; Metazoa; Chordata; Actinopteri; Anguilliformes; Congridae
Description: partial 16S ribosomal RNA
Rfam family: Bacterial large subunit ribosomal RNA
Source: RNAcentral